GCUUUACACAUGCAAGUCGAACGGCAGCGCGGGCUUCGGCCUGGCGGCGAGUGGCGAACGGGUGAGUGAUGCAUCGGAACGUGCCCAGUAGUGGGGGAUAGCCCGGCGAAAGCCGGAUUAAUACCGCAUACGACCUGAGGGUGAAAGCGGGGGACCGAAAGGCCUCGCGCUAUUGGAGCGGCCGAUGUCGGAUUAGCUAGUUGGUGGGGUAAAGGCUUACCAAGGCGACGAUCCGUAGCUGGUCUGAGAGGACGACCAGCCACACUGGGACUGAGACGCGGCCCAGACUCCUACGGGAGGCAGCAGUGGGGAAUUUUGGACAAUGGGGGCAACCCUGAUCCAGCCAUGCCGCGUGCGGGAAGAAGGCCUUCGGGUUGUAAACCGCUUUUGUUCGGGAAGAAAUCCUCUGGGCUAAUACCCCGGGGGGAUGACGGUACCGGAAGAAUAAGCACCGGCUAACUACGUGCCAGCAGCCGCGGUAAUACGUAGGGUGCGAGCGUUAAUCGGAAUUACUGGGCGUAAAGCGUGCGCAGGCGGUUGUGCAAGACAGAUGUGAAAUCCCCGGGCUUAACCUGGGAACUGCAUUUGUGACUGCACGGCUAGAGUGCGGCAGAGGGGAGUGGAAUUCCGCGUGUAGCAGUGAAAUGCGUAGAUAUGCGGAGGAACACCGAUGGCGAAGGCAGCUCCCUGGGCCUGCACUGACGCUCAUGCACGAAAGCGUGGGGAGCAAACAGGAUUAGAUACCCUGGUAGUCCACGCCCUAAACGAUGUCAACUGGUUGUUGGUCCUUCACUGGAUCAGUAACGUAGCUAACGCGUGAAGUUGACCGCCUGGGGAGUACGGCCGCAAGGUUGAAACUCAAAUGAAUUGACGG
This 874-nucleotide ribosomal RNA is filed under the name uncultured Caldimonas sp. RNAcentral's name for it is "bacterial SSU rRNA". It matches the Rfam family "Bacterial small subunit ribosomal RNA", at positions 46 to 916 of the family's 1533-position model. Lineage: Bacteria; Pseudomonadati; Pseudomonadota; Betaproteobacteria; Burkholderiales; Sphaerotilaceae. The record is from RNAcentral.